This 503-nucleotide ribosomal RNA is filed under the name uncultured bacterium. Its description in RNAcentral is "partial 16S ribosomal RNA". It matches the Rfam family "Bacterial small subunit ribosomal RNA", at positions 30 to 523 of the family's 1533-position model. The record is from RNAcentral.
AUUGAACGCUGGCGGCAGGCUUAACACAUGCAAGUCGAGCGGGGUGAUGGUGCUUGCACUAUCACUUAGCGGCGGACGGGUGAGUAAUGCUUAGGAAUCUGCCUAUUAGUGGGGGACAACAUCUCGAAAGGGAUGCUAAUACCGCAUACGUCCUACGGGAUAGAGCAGGGGAUCACUUGUGACCUUGCGCUAAUAGAUGAGCCUAAGUCGGCUUAGCUAGUUGGUGGGGUAAAGGCCUACCAAGGCGAUGAUCUGUAGCGGGUCUGAAAGGAUGAUACGCCACACUGGGACUGAGACACGGCCCAGACUCCUACGGGAGGCAGCAGUGGGGAAUAUUGGACAAUGGGGGGAACCCUGAUCCAGCCAUGCGGCGUGUGUGAAGAAGGCCUUAUGGUUGUAAAGCACUUUAAGCGAGGAGGAGGCUCUUUUGGUUAAUACCCAAGAUGAGUGGACGUUACUCGCAGAAUAAGCACCGGCUAACUCUGUGCCAGCCGCCGCGGUAA